GAUCCGCYAAGGAGUGUGUAACAACUCACCUGCCGAAUGAAUUAGCCCUGAAAAUGGAUGGCGCUUAAGCGGAUGACCGACACCAUGCCGUCUGAAUGAUAAAAUUUUCAGAUGAGUAGGAGGACGUGGUGAUCGUGACGAAGUAUGUGUGCGAACACGUAUAGAACGAUCACUAGUGCAGAUCUUGGUGGUAGUAGCAAAUAUUCAAGCGAGAUCCUUGAAGGGCGAAGCGGGGAAGGGUUCCACGCUAACAUUGAUUGGGCGUGGGUGAGUCGUUCCUAAGCCGAGUGGCAAUUGCUAAGUAACGGCGAAAGGGAAGCAGGUUUACAUUCCUGCACACGGAUGUGGAGGCGGUGACGCUUUAUUGAGGCGAACACAUUGGCGAUGGCGCUAGGCAGAGUUGUCUUUUCUGUUUAACCGUUUGUAUAUAUUGUGUGGAGUCCGAUUAUCGGGAGAAACACAUAUAUACGGGCAGAGCGCCGGGGCUUAUCCGGCGUCUAGCUCGCCAUCGACGAUCCUUGAAACUUUGCCUGCUGAAAUUUUAAUAUCCACGCCGUGGCGUACCGAUCACCGCAUCAGGUCCCCGAGGUGAACAGCCUCUGCUCAAUAUGAAAAAUGCAGGUAAGGGAAGUCGGCA
Molecule: ribosomal RNA, 637 nt
Filed under: Pterocladiella capillacea
Lineage: Eukaryota; Rhodophyta; Florideophyceae; Gelidiales; Pterocladiaceae
Description: eukaryotic LSU rRNA
Rfam family: Eukaryotic large subunit ribosomal RNA
Source: RNAcentral